RNAcentral lists this ribosomal RNA (648 nucleotides) under uncultured Acetobacter sp. RNAcentral describes it as "bacterial SSU rRNA". It matches the Rfam family "Bacterial small subunit ribosomal RNA", at positions 30 to 719 of the family's 1533-position model. Lineage: Bacteria; Pseudomonadati; Pseudomonadota; Alphaproteobacteria; Acetobacterales; Acetobacteraceae. The record is from RNAcentral.
CGAACGCUGGCGGUAUGCUUAACACAUGCAAGUCGCACGGACCCUUCGGGGUUAGUGGCGCACGGGUGAGUAACACGUAGGAAUCUGUCUUGAGGUGGGGGAUAACUCCGGGAAACUGGAGCUAAUACCGCAUGAUAACUGAGGUUCAAAGGUCGCAAGACCGCCUUGAGAGGGGCCUGCGUUCGAUUAGUUAGUUGGUGGGGUAAUGGCCUACCAAGACGAUGAUCGAUAGCUGGUUUGAGAGGAUGAUCAGCCACACUGGGACUGAGACACGGCCCAGACUCCUACGGGAGGCAGCAGUGGGGAAUAUUGGACAAUGGGGGCAACCCUGAUCCAGCAAUGCCGCGUGUGUGAAGAAGGUCUUCGGAUUGUAAAACACUUUCGUUGGGGACGAUGAUGACGGUACCCAAAGAAGAAGCCCCGGCUAACUUCGUGCCAGCAGCCGCGGUAAUACGAAGGGGGCGAGCGUUGCUCGGAAUAACUGGGCGUAAAGGGCGCGUAGGCGGCCGAUAGCUGUCAGAUGUGAAAUUUUUGGGCUCAACCCGAAAACUGCAUUUGAUACGUAUUGGCUAGAGUGCGAGAGAGGAUUGCGGAAUUCCCAGUGUAGAGGUGAAAUUCGUAGAUAUUGGGAAGAACACCAGUUGCGAA